AGGGGAACCUGCGGCUGGAUCACCUCCUUAAAUUAAGAGCACUAAAGAAUUUAAAGUGCCCACACAGUUUGUUUUCGAGAAUAAAGAAACCCAAUGCACCCGAAAGGGGCAUAAAUGCUAGGCACAGCGAGAGCGAAGCGCGAGCGAUAAGCUCACGCGAGUCAAAGCAUUUUUACAAGGAUUUUUGUUUUAAUCGAGGCGUGCAUGCGAGCGAGCGAAGGAGCAUACAUCAGUAUGUGACUGAGUGAGAGAGCAUAAGCAGCGCAGAGUAAAACGAAAAGCCGCAGUAAAAAAAGGGGUCGUAGCUCAGCUGGGAGAGCACCUGCCUUGCACGCAGGGGGUCAGGAGUUCGAUCCUCCUCGGCUCCACCAAAUUAGAGGGUUUAUUCAUUGGGAUUAUCCAGAUUAAAGUGCUUUUAUUUGAGGGCAUUUUAAUCUGGAAUAACCAGACGUUCAUUAAAAAUUAGGGUAAAUAAAGAGGUAACACAAGCGUCUUGUAUUGUGAAAGCAUGUAAUCUGAGGUAAUUGAGAUUAUAUGGUCAAGAAGAG
This 548-nucleotide transfer RNA is filed under the name Legionella anisa. RNAcentral's name for it is "partial 16S-23S ribosomal RNA intergenic spacer". The stretch from base 296 to 368 matches the Rfam family "tRNA". The record is from RNAcentral. Lineage: Bacteria; Pseudomonadati; Pseudomonadota; Gammaproteobacteria; Legionellales; Legionellaceae.